UCUAUUUGUCCAUUUCUUUAUUCUUUUGUGUCUUUUUGUCAGUGCAAUGUAUUUCAUAUUCCAGCAGUGCCAAAAUAUAUUGUUUUAAGCAAAAGUUAGAGACUUUAUUUAACUGAGGUCAAUCUAGGACAGGGAUAGACCUACGUCAACAUUAUCCCACUUUUGAAACACUUAGAUAAGUACAUGUACUAUAAUGUAGUAUGUACACUGAUUCAAAAUUAAGAAUACAUCAAAUCUUUAGUGUGAGGCUUGAGGUUGCAACUAACUACUUUGUAGGCAAAGAGUGCACCAACCUACACGUCGAAGAAGUGCAUUUUGAUUCUGAUCCUUUGAGAAAUGUUUUAGUAAAUAUGUAUGCAAAGCAACAUCAUAAGCCUCUGGAAAUAUAAAAGAAGAAAUCAUGGGGAGUAACUACAAAAAAGAGAUGGUCAAAACCUUUUUAUCAAAGAGAUGUUCCAAGAGGUGAUGGCUUUGAAAGUGACGCACAUACUUGUGUUUGCUGAAGAGCUAUGUUGCUCGUACUCUCCAAAAAUGCUGCCUCACCCCGUGUCGAAUCCUCCAGAAGUACACUAUUUUUGGAGGAUCCGACAUGCACCCAUUGGCAUUUUUGAAGAGUUUGGGCAACAUAGCUGAGGAGGCAUGUUGCCUGGAGCUGAGUUUCAUGCCUUCAUUCAAGUAGAGCAUAUUGUUUUGAAGUGCUUGUUCUAGUUAUGCACCAAACAUACCUAGUCACCAUGGCUAGCCUUUCUUGUGAGAUGAUUCUUUUUUUUCUGAAAAUAUGGUUUGUUUUUCUGAAACUGUGAGACGAUUCUCUUUUAUGCCACUUAAAUAAUGUGAAUAGCUUUAACAGUAUUAAAACCAUGAGUGCUUGGCUGAUUGCUCUCUUCUUGCCAAUAGUAGUAAAGAUAUGGCAGUAUCAAAUCUGUUUUGAGUUUAUGGAACACAUAUUGGUAUAAUGAUAGGAUUAAGGA
Non-coding RNA from Solanum lycopersicum (tomato), 971 nucleotides. Lineage: Eukaryota; Viridiplantae; Streptophyta; Magnoliopsida; Solanales; Solanaceae. The record is from RefSeq and is a predicted model, not a curated record.